GACAGAGGUGGCAAGCGUUGUUCGGAUUUAUUGGGUGUAAAGGGUCCGUAGGCGGUCAGGCAAGUCUGAUGUGAAAUCCCAUGGCUCAACCGUGGAACUGCAUUGGAAACUGCCUGACUUGAGUACCGAAGAGGUGAAGGGAAUUCCCGGUGUAAGGGUGAAAUCUGUAGAUAUCGGGAGGAACACCAGUGGCGAAGGCGCUUCACUGGUCGGUAACUGACGCUGAGGGACGAAAGCAAGGGGAGCAAACAGG
Molecule: ribosomal RNA, 253 nt
Filed under: uncultured bacterium
Lineage: Bacteria
Description: partial 16S ribosomal RNA
Rfam family: Bacterial small subunit ribosomal RNA
Source: RNAcentral